RNAcentral lists this ribosomal RNA (251 nucleotides) under uncultured bacterium. RNAcentral's name for it is "partial 16S ribosomal RNA". It matches the Rfam family "Bacterial small subunit ribosomal RNA", at positions 525 to 775 of the family's 1533-position model. The record is from RNAcentral.
ACGGAGGAUCCGAGCGUUAUCCGGAUUUAUUGGGUUUAAAGGGUGCGUAGGCGGGAUAAUAAGUCAGCGGUGAAAGUUUGUCGCUUAACGAUAAAAUUGCCAUUGAAACUGUUAAUCUUGAGUAUAUUGGAAGUAGGCGGAAUGUGUAGUGUAGCGGUGAAAUGCAUAGAUAUUCCGCAGAACCCCGAUUGCGAAGGCAGCUUACUAUAAUACAACUGACGCUGAUGCACGAAAGCGUGGGUAUCAAACAG